RNAcentral lists this ribosomal RNA (472 nucleotides) under uncultured bacterium. RNAcentral describes it as "bacterial SSU rRNA". It matches the Rfam family "Bacterial small subunit ribosomal RNA", at positions 30 to 493 of the family's 1533-position model. The record is from RNAcentral.
AUUGAACGCUGGCGGCAUGCCUUACACAUGCAAGUCGAACGGCAGCACGGACUUCGGUCUGGUGGCGAGUGGCGAACGGGUGAGUAAUGCAUCGGAACGUGCCAUUGAGUGGGGGAUAACGUAGCGAAAGUUGCGCUAAUACCGCAUAUUCUGUGAGCAGGAAAGCAGGGGACCGCAAGGCCUUGCGCUCUUUGAGCGGCCGAUGUCAGAUUAGCUAGUUGGUGAGGUAAAGGCUUACCAAGGCGACGAUCUGUAGCGGGUCUGAGAGGAUGAUCCGCCACACUGGAACUGAGACACGGUCCAGACUCCUACGGGAGGCAGCAGUGGGGAAUUUUGGACAAUGGGGGCAACCCUGAUCCAGCCAUGCCGCGUGAGUGAAGAAGGCCUCGGUUGUAAGCUCUUCGGUCCGGGUAAGGAAAGUACGCGAUGGGCCAAGUACCCUCGUGUGGAUGACGGUACCGGAAGUAAGAAG